UGUAUUUUUAGUAGAGACGGGGUUUCACCACGUUGGCUAGGCUGGGCUAGAACUCCUGACUUCAAGUUAUCUGCCCGCCUGGGCUUCCCAAACUGCUGGAAUUACAGGCGUGAGCCACAGCGCUCGCCCCCCGUACUGAUUUGAGGGUCUCCAGAGCACAAAGGCUGCACCGGAUGAUGAAGAAGGAGCUGAAAGAGCCACAGACUCCGUAGAUCCGGUACAGUCCACACACAGGAAAUUCAGGUCUGGAGGCUGGGAAGCCCAAGAGCAAGGUGUCAGCAGAUGCAGUUCUGGUGUUUUUAAAAAAGGAGGAGGAACCACACAUGAAGAGUCAGCAAUGUACACAAGCUUCUUUGCAUUUGAAAAACUACGGGAGCUGUGAUGAAGAUCUGUGCUAAGAUAUGCGUCUGCUAUAAAUCAUAAUUCCCCCGGUAAAAGUUUUAGCAUAAAAUCCCAGGCAGUCUAUACUCUCAUUAACUCUCUAGCACUGAUGCCCCUGUACCUCUCUGGAGAGCUCAGCCAAGGGACUCCAACUUCCUUGCAUAAGUGGAAGAAGAAAGUCUUGCUGGCAGAGGUCCCUGACACACUAAGAUAGGAACCAGCAGGAGAAGAGUCC
This 616-nucleotide long non-coding RNA is filed under the name Homo sapiens (human). RNAcentral's name for it is "HSALNT0130216". Lineage: Eukaryota; Metazoa; Chordata; Mammalia; Primates; Hominidae. The record is from RNAcentral.